RNAcentral lists this ribosomal RNA (270 nucleotides) under uncultured Oscillospiraceae bacterium. RNAcentral's name for it is "partial 16S ribosomal RNA". It matches the Rfam family "Bacterial small subunit ribosomal RNA", at positions 74 to 339 of the family's 1533-position model. The record is from RNAcentral. Lineage: Bacteria; Bacillati; Bacillota; Clostridia; Eubacteriales; Oscillospiraceae.
UUUUCGGAUGGAAGCUUGUAAACUUAGUGGCGGACGGGUGAGUAACACGUGAGCAACCUGCCUAUCAGAGGGGGACAACAGUUGGAAACGACUGCUAAUACCGCAUGACACAUUGGGGUCGCAUGGCCUUGAUGUCAAAGAUUUAUCGCUGAAAGAUGGCCUCGCGUCUGAUUAGCUAGUUGGUGAGGUAACGGCCCACCAAGGCGACGAUCGGUAGCCGGACUGAGAGGUUGAACGGCCACAUUGGGACUGAGACACGGCCCAGACUCC